RNAcentral lists this ribosomal RNA (254 nucleotides) under uncultured bacterium. RNAcentral describes it as "partial 16S ribosomal RNA". It matches the Rfam family "Bacterial small subunit ribosomal RNA", at positions 524 to 776 of the family's 1533-position model. The record is from RNAcentral.
GACAGAGGGGGCAAGCGUUGCUCGGAAUUACUGGGCGUAAAGGGCGGGUAGGCGGCCACCGCAAGUCAGUUGUGAAAUCUCUGGGCUUAACCCAGAAAGGUCAACUGAUACUGCGGGGCUAGAGUGCAGAAGGGGCAACUGGAAUUCUCGGUGUAGCGGUGAAAUGCGUAGAUAUCGAGAGGAACACCUGCGGCGAAGGCGGGUUGCUGGGCUGACACUGACGCUGAACUGCGAAAGCUAGGGGAGCGAACGGG